RNAcentral lists this ribosomal RNA (559 nucleotides) under uncultured bacterium. RNAcentral's name for it is "partial 16S ribosomal RNA". It matches the Rfam family "Bacterial small subunit ribosomal RNA", at positions 355 to 1375 of the family's 1533-position model. The record is from RNAcentral.
UGGGGAAUAUUGGACAAUGGGCGCAAGCCUGAUCCAGCAAUGCCGCGUGAGUGAUGAAGGCCUUAGGGUUGUAAAGCUCUUUCGCACGCGACGAUGAUGACGGUAGCGUGAGAAGAAGCCCCGGCUAACUUCGUGCCAGCAGCCGCGGUAAUACGAAGGGGGCUAGCGUUGUUCGGAAUUACUGGGCGUAAAGGGCGCGUAGGCGGCCUGUUUAGUCAGAAGUGAAAGCCCCGGGCUCAACCUGGGAAUAGCUUUUGAUACUGGCAGGCUUGAGUUCCGGAGAGGAUGGUGGAAUUCCCAGUGUAGAGGUGAAAUUCGUAGAUAUUGGGAAGAACACCGGUGGCGAAGGCGGCCAUCUGGACGGACACUGACGCUGAGGCGCGAAAGCGUGGGGAGCAAACAGAUUAGAUACCCUGGUAGUCCACGCCGUAAACGAUGAAUGCUAGACGUCGGGGUGCAUGCACUUCGGUGUCGCCGCUAACGCAUUAAGCAUUCCGCCUGGGGAGUACGGCCGCAAGGUUAAAACUUAAAUGAAUUGACGGGGUCAUAGCUGUUUCCU